GCCAGGCAUGGUGGCACAUGCCUGUAAUCCCAGCUACUUGGGAGGCUGAGGCAGGAGAAUUGCUUGAACCCGGGAGGUGAAGGUUGCAGUGGGCCGAGAUCGCACCACUGCAUUCCAGCCUGGGCAACAGAGCAAGACUCUGCCUCAA
Molecule: non-coding RNA, 148 nt
Filed under: Pan paniscus (pygmy chimpanzee)
Lineage: Eukaryota; Metazoa; Chordata; Mammalia; Primates; Hominidae
Also listed under: 1 other name
Source: Rfam by way of RNAcentral